This 520-nucleotide ribosomal RNA is filed under the name uncultured Glomus. RNAcentral's name for it is "SSU rRNA". It matches the Rfam family "Eukaryotic small subunit ribosomal RNA", at positions 569 to 1090 of the family's 1831-position model. The record is from RNAcentral. Lineage: Eukaryota; Fungi; Glomeromycota; Glomeromycetes; Glomerales; Glomeraceae.
AGCAGCCGCGGUAAUUCCAGCUCCAAUAGCGUAUAUUAAAGUUGCUGCAGUUAAAAAGCUCGUAGUUGAAUUUCGGGACUAAUAUGUCGGUCGUGCCUCGGUACGUACUGGUAUUUUUGGUUUCUCCCUUCUGACGAACCUUGAUGUCAUUAAUUUGGUGUCUUGGGAAAUCAGGACUGUUACUUUGAAAAAAUUAGAGUGUUUAAAGCAGGCUCACGCUUGAAUACAUUAGCAUGGAAUAAUGAAAUAGGACGUUUGAUUCUAUUUUGUUGGUUUCUAGGAUCGACGUAAUGAUUAAUAGGGAUAGUUGGGGGCAUUAGUAUUCAAUUGUCAGAGGUGAAAUUCUUGGAUUUAUUGAAGACUAACUACUGCGAAAGCAUUUGCCAAGGAUGUUUUCAUUAAUCAAGAACGAAAGUUAGGGGAUCGAAGACGAUCAGAUACCGUCGUAGUCUUAACCAUAAACUAUGCCGACUAGGGAUCGGAUGAUGUUAAUUUUUUUAAUGACUCAUUCGGCGCCUUA